UACGUAGGGCGCAAGCGUUGUCCGGAAUUAUUGGGCGUAAAGAGCUCGUAGGCGGUCUGUCGCGUCUGCCGUGAAAACCCGAGGCUUAACCUCGGGCUGGCGGUGGAUACGGGCAGACUAGAGGUAGGUAGGGGAGAAUGGAAUUCCCGGUGUAGCGGCGAAAUGCGCAGAUAUCGGGAGGAACACCGGUGGCGAAGGCGGUUCUCUGGGCCUUACCUGACGCUGAGGAGCGAAAGCGUGAGGAGCGAACAGG
RNAcentral lists this ribosomal RNA (253 nucleotides) under uncultured bacterium. RNAcentral's name for it is "partial 16S ribosomal RNA". It matches the Rfam family "Bacterial small subunit ribosomal RNA", at positions 524 to 776 of the family's 1533-position model. The record is from RNAcentral.